GCUUAGAAGCAGCCACUCAUUAAAAGAGUGCGUAAUAGCUCACUGGUCGAGUGACUCUGCGCGGAAAAUAUAACGGGGCUAAGCAUGAAACCGAAGCUUGGGCUUGUACUUAGGUACAGGGGUAGGGGAGCGUCGAGUAUGGGGUGAAGUCAGAGCGGAAGCACUGGUGGACUGUACUGGAGUGAGAAUGCCGGAAUGAGUAGCGAGAAUUAUGUGGGAAUCAUAAUGGCCGAAAAUCUAAGGUUUCUUGGGGAAGGUUCGUCCGCCCAAGGUAAGUCGGGAGCUAAGCUCAGGCCGAGAGGCGUAGGCGAUGCACAUACGGUAGAAAUUCCGUAACCACCGAAACUUAAACAGAGGGACACUUCGAAAUAGCGGAACCCGGGCGUUGGUUGACCCGGGCGAAAGGGAGCGAAAUUAGAGUAGCGAAGUCCGCGAUGUUCGGAGGCGAGAAAAGCUCUGAGGUAUGCUAAGGUGCCCGUACCGCAAACCGACACAGGUAGAUGAGGAGAGAAUCCUAAGGCCAACGGGAGAAGGGUUGUUAAGGAACUCGGCAAAUUGACCCCGUAACUUCGGGAGAAGGGGUGCUCCAGAGAUGGAGCCGCAGAGAAUCGGCCCAAGCAACUGUUUACCAAAAACACAGGUUUGUGCUAAAUCGAAAGAUGACGUAUACGAGCUGACGCCUGCCCGGUGCUGGAAGGUUAAGAGGAGAUGUGCAAGCAUUGAAUCGAAGCCCCAGUGAACGGCGGCCGUAACUAUAACGGUCCUAAGGUAGCGAAAUUCCUUGUCAGGUAAGUUCUGACCCGCACGAAUGGCGUAACGAUUUGGGCGCUGUCUCGGCGAGAGGCUCGGCGAAAUUGGAUUAUCCGUGAAGAUACGGAUUACGUGUACCAGGACAGAAAGACCCUAUUGAGCUUUACUGUAGCUUGAAAUUGAAUUCGGGUUCUCAUUGCGCAGUAUAGGUGGGAGACUAAGAAGCUUGAACUUUGGUUUAAGUGGAGUCAUCGUUGAGAUACCACUCUGUGAAAAUUUGGAUUCUAACCUUGAUCCCUCAAAGAACAGGGCAAGGGACAGUUUCUGGUAGGCAGUUUGACUGGGGCGGUCGCCUCCUAAAAAGUAACGGAGGCGUUCAAAGGUUCCCUCAGGUUGGUCGGAAAUCAACCGUUGAGUGCAAUAGCAAAAGGGAGCUUGACUGUGAGACCUACAAGUCGAGCAGGUACGAAAGUAGGAUAUAGUGAUCCGGUGGUUCUGCAUGGAAGGGCCAUCGCUCAUCGGAUAAAAGUUACCAUAGGGAUAACAGGCUUAUCUCCCCCAAGAGUCCACAUCGACGGGGAGGUUUGGCACCUCGAUGUCGGCUCGUCGCAUCCUGGGGCUGAAGCAGGUCCCAAGGGUUUGGCUGUUCGCCAAUUAAAGCGGCACGCGAGCUGGGUUCAGAACGUCGUGAGACAGUUCGGUCCCUAUC
This 1459-nucleotide ribosomal RNA is filed under the name human gut metagenome. Its description in RNAcentral is "bacterial LSU rRNA". It matches the Rfam family "Bacterial large subunit ribosomal RNA", at positions 1104 to 2642 of the family's 2925-position model. The record is from RNAcentral.